CACGUAGGGCGCAAGCGUUGUCCGGAAUUAUUGGGCGUAAAGAGCUCGUAGGCGGUCUGCCACGUCCGCUGUGAAAACCAGGGGCUUAACCCCUGGCUUGCAGUGGAUACGGGCAGACUAGAGGUAGGUAGGGGAGAAUGGAAUUCCCGGUGUAGCGGUGAAAUGCGCAGAUAUCGGGAGGAACACCGGUGGCGAAGGCGGUUCUCUGGGCCUUACCUGACGCUGAGGAGCGAAAGCGUGGGGAG
This 245-nucleotide ribosomal RNA is filed under the name uncultured bacterium. RNAcentral's name for it is "partial 16S ribosomal RNA". It matches the Rfam family "Bacterial small subunit ribosomal RNA", at positions 524 to 768 of the family's 1533-position model. The record is from RNAcentral.